RNAcentral lists this ribosomal RNA (433 nucleotides) under uncultured bacterium. Its description in RNAcentral is "partial 16S ribosomal RNA". It matches the Rfam family "Bacterial small subunit ribosomal RNA", at positions 29 to 507 of the family's 1533-position model. The record is from RNAcentral.
AACGAACGCUGGCGGCAUGCCUAACACAUGCAAGUCGAACGAGACCUUCGUGUCUAGUGGCGCACGUGUGCGUAACGCGUGGGAACCUGCCCUUAGGUUGGCAAUACUUCCCUUAAGGGGAGCUUAAAACAGCUGAAGCUCUUGGAGCAAAGGAUUUCCCGCUUUUGGAUGGGCCCGGGUAAGUUUCGCUGGUUGGUAGGGGAAAAGCCAACCAUGGGCCCGUUCCUGGGCUGGUCGGAUAGGAUGCUCAGCCACACUGGCACUGAGACACGGCCCAGACUCCUACGGGAGGGAGCAGUGGGGAAUAUUGGACAAGGGGCGAAAGCCUGAUCCAGCAAUGCCGCGGGAGUGAUGAAGGCCUUAGGGUUGUAAAGCUCUUUUACCCGGGAUGAUAAUGACAGUACCGGGAGAAUAAGCUCCGGCUAACUCCGUG